UACGUAGGGUGCGAGCGUUGUCCGGAAUUAUUGGGCGUAAAGGGCUCGUAGGCGGUCUGUCGCGUCGGGAGUGAAAACUCAGGGCUUAACCCUGAGCCUGCUUCCGAUACGGGCAGACUAGAGGUAUGCAGGGGAGAACGGAAUUCCUGGUGUAGCGGUGGAAUGCGCAGAUAUCAGGAGGAGCACCGGUGGCGAAGGCGGUUCUCUGGGCAUUACCUGACGCUGAGGAGCGAAAGUGUGGGGAGCGAACAGG
Molecule: ribosomal RNA, 253 nt
Filed under: uncultured bacterium
Lineage: Bacteria
Description: partial 16S ribosomal RNA
Rfam family: Bacterial small subunit ribosomal RNA
Source: RNAcentral